This is a non-coding RNA of Phytophthora infestans T30-4, 70 nucleotides long. The record is from the annotation of a RefSeq genome assembly. NCBI's taxonomy places the organism in Eukaryota, Oomycota, Peronosporomycetes, Peronosporales, Peronosporaceae.
GCCCUUUUAGCUCAGUGGUCGAGCACUCGUUUCGCAAGCGAGAGGCCGGCAAUUCGAUCCCAUUCGGACU